AUUACUACUAAUAAUGAAUAAUUAGGCCUUUUGGUAUCUGUUCUUAUCAGCUUAAUAUCUGAUCCGUCAUCUAUAAGAGGACCUCAUAUUAAACUGAUUUUCAGGACAGGGAGACGGAAGAGGGGCUUGCUCCGUCCACUCCAUCCAUCGACCUGGUAUUGAAGUACCUCCGGGAACGGUGCACCUUCU
Pygocentrus nattereri (red-bellied piranha) is the source of this 189-nucleotide small nuclear RNA. Its record names the gene U2. It matches the Rfam family "U2 spliceosomal RNA". From Rfam's summary of the family: U2 is a small nuclear RNA (snRNA) component of the spliceosome (involved in pre-mRNA splicing). Complementary binding between U2 snRNA (in an area lying towards the 5' end but 3' to hairpin I) and the branchpoint sequence (BPS) of the intron results the bulging out of an unpaired adenosine, on the BPS, which initiates a nucleophilic attack at the intronic 5' splice site, thus starting the first of two transesterification reactions that mediate splicing. The record is from Ensembl. Lineage: Eukaryota; Metazoa; Chordata; Actinopteri; Characiformes; Serrasalmidae.